This 465-nucleotide ribosomal RNA is filed under the name uncultured bacterium. Its description in RNAcentral is "partial 16S ribosomal RNA". It matches the Rfam family "Bacterial small subunit ribosomal RNA", at positions 28 to 507 of the family's 1533-position model. The record is from RNAcentral.
GACAAACGCUGGCGGCGUGCUUAACACAUGCAAGUCGAGCGGUAAGGCCCCUUCGGGGGUACACGAGCGGCGAACGGGUGAGUAACACGUGAGCAAUCUGCCCAUCACAUCGGGAUAACCCCGGGAAACCGAAGCUAAUACCGAAUACGACCACCUCCGGCAUCGGAUGGUGGUUGAAAGUUCCGGCGGUGAUGGAUGAGCUCGGGGGCUAUCAGCUGGUUGGUGGGGUAACGGCACACCAAGGCCUCGAGGGGUAGCCGGCCUGAGAGGGUGUCCGGCCACACUGGGACUGAGAAACGGCCCAGACGCCUACGGGAGGCAGCAGUGGGGAAUAUUGGACAAUGGGCGAAAGCCUGAUCCAGCAACGCCGCGUGAGGGAUGACGGCCUUCGGGUUGUAAACCUCUUUCAGCAGGGACGAAGCGCAAGUGACGGUACCUGCAGAAGAAGCACCGGCCAACUACGUG